GCGCCUCGUCGCCAACGUCGAGGACCUUGGUGCGGUUGAAGCCGAGUUCCUUGCCGCUGGCUUCGAAGGCACCAU
RNAcentral lists this transfer RNA (75 nucleotides) under Pararhodospirillum photometricum DSM 122. RNAcentral's name for it is "tRNA-Met". Lineage: Bacteria; Pseudomonadati; Pseudomonadota; Alphaproteobacteria; Rhodospirillales; Rhodospirillaceae. The record is from RNAcentral.